UCCUAGGGCCAUACCACCCUGAACACGCAGAAUCUCCUCUCAUCUCAGCAGCUAACUAGGGUUGGGCCUGGUGAGUAAUUGGAUGGAAGACCUGGAAAUAUCAGGGUCUGUAGGUU
RNAcentral lists this ribosomal RNA (116 nucleotides) under Carlito syrichta (Philippine tarsier). The record is from RNAcentral. Lineage: Eukaryota; Metazoa; Chordata; Mammalia; Primates; Tarsiidae.